UAGGGAAUUUUCGGCAAUGGACGAAAGUCUGACCGAGCAGCGCCGCGUGAGUGAAGAAGGUUUUCGGAUCGUAAAACUCUGUUGGUAGAGAAGAACGUUGGUGAGAGUGGAAAGCUCAUCAAGUGACGGUAACUACCCAGAAAGGGACGGCUAACUACGUGCCAGCAGCCGCGGUAAUACGUAGGUCCCGAGCGUUGUCCGGAUUUAUUGGGCGUAAAGCGAGCGCAGGUGGUUUAUUAAGUCUGGUGUAAAAGGCAGUGGCUCAACCAUUGUAUGCAUUGGAAACUGGUAGACUUGAGUGCAGGAGAGGAGAGUGGAAUUCCAUGUGUAGCGGUGAAAUGCGUAGAUAUAUGGAGGAACACCGGUGGCGAAAGCGGCUCUCUGGCCUGUAACUGACACUGAGGCUCGAAAGCGUGGGGAGCAAACAGGAUUAGAUACCCUGGUAGU
This 447-nucleotide ribosomal RNA is filed under the name uncultured bacterium. Its description in RNAcentral is "partial 16S ribosomal RNA". It matches the Rfam family "Bacterial small subunit ribosomal RNA", at positions 355 to 794 of the family's 1533-position model. The record is from RNAcentral.